GACGAACGCUGGCGGCGUGCCUAACACAUGCAAGUCAACGAGAAAGGGGUAGCAAUAUCCUGAGUAAAGUGGCGCACGGGUGAGUAACACGUAGGUAAUCUGCCAUCAGGACGGGGACAACCACGCGAAAGCGUGGCUAAUACCCGAUGAAUCGACGAUGCCGCAUGGCAUUUGUUAUUAAAUACCGCAAGGUGCCUGGUGAUGAACCUGCGUCCCAUUAGGUAGUUGGUGAGGUAACGGCUCACCAAGCCGACGAUGGGUAGCUGGUCUGAGAGGAUGAUCAGCCACACUGGAACUGAGACACGGUCCAGACUCCUACGGGAGGCAGCAGUGAGGAAUAUUGCGCAAUGGCCGAAAGGCUGACGCAGCGACGCCGCGUGAAGGAUGAAGUCCGUUAGGAUG
RNAcentral lists this ribosomal RNA (402 nucleotides) under uncultured bacterium. RNAcentral's name for it is "bacterial SSU rRNA". It matches the Rfam family "Bacterial small subunit ribosomal RNA", at positions 28 to 425 of the family's 1533-position model. The record is from RNAcentral.